RNAcentral lists this unclassified non-coding RNA (1467 nucleotides) under uncultured fungus. RNAcentral's name for it is "sequence contains 18S rRNA gene, ITS1, 5.8S rRNA gene, ITS2, 28S rRNA gene". The stretch from base 527 to 1467 matches the Rfam family "Eukaryotic large subunit ribosomal RNA", at positions 1 to 961 of the family's 3401-position model. Lineage: Eukaryota; Fungi. The record is from RNAcentral.
GGAAGGAUCAUUAGAGAAAAUUAAUCGAAUUCCGUAUUCUUAAACCCUUGCUGUGUACUUGUCUCUGUUGCUUCCGUGGGCUGCAGGUCAUGCGCUUGCAACCUCUCUCAUGGCGGACCCACGGAAGGCAAUCAUAUACCCUGUCUUGAUAUUGUAUUCGUCCGAGCUUGCUUAGUCAAUGAAUGUUAAAACUUUCAACAACGGAUCUCUUGGUUCUCGCAUCGAUGAAGAACGCAGCGAAAUGCGAUAAGUAGUGUGAAUUGCAGAAUUCCGUGAAUCAUCGAAUCUUUGAACGCAUAUUGCGCCUUUCGGCAUUCCGAAAGGCAUGCCUGUUCGAGCGUCAUAUAAACUCCUCAAGCGCGAAUUUGUCCUCGCUUGGUAUUGGUCAAGGAUCGAGCCUGGCUUGCUCCUGUCCGAAAUUCAAUGGCGAAGCCGUAUGGCUCCUUCAGUGUAAUAAUCAACGUUAUGUUUCGCUGCUGGACUCAUCAGGCUCCUGUUAUAAUUUAACUCCUCAGUUCCAAAAGUUUGACCUCGGAUCAGGUAGGGAUACCCGCUGAACUUAAGCAUAUCAAUAAGCGGAGGAAAAGAAACCAACAGGGAUUGCCUUAGUAACUGCGAGUGAAGCGGCAAAAGCUCAAAUUUUAAAUCUGUCGUCUACGACGUCCGAGUUGUAAUUUGGAGAGGCAUUGUCGGAUUGAGCACUAUCCUAUGUUCCUUGGAACAGGACGUCAUAGAGGGUGAGAAUCCCGUAUAUGGAUAGCUGUCUUGGUUCUUGUGACAUGUUUUCGACGAGUCGAGUUGUUUGGGAAUGCAGCUCAAAAUGGGUGGUAAAUGUCAUCUAAAGCUAAAUAUUGGCGAGAGACCGAUAGCGUACAAGUAGAGUGAUCGAAAGAUGAAAAGCACUUUGAAAAGAGAGUCAAAAAGUACGUGAAAUUGUUGAAAGGGAAGCGCUUACGACCAGACUCAAACCGUGGUGAUCAGCAGUGCUUCUGUACUGUGCACUUGCCAUCGUUUGGGACAGCAUCGGUUUGAAUGGCGGAAUAAAGACUCAAGGAAUGUAGCUCACCUCGGUGAGUGUUAUAGCCUUGGGUGCAAUGCCGCCUAUUCGGACCGAGGAUCGCGCUAUGCUAGGAUGCUGUCAUAAUGGUCGUCAGCGACCCGUCUUGAAACACGGACCAAGGAGUCUAACAUCCAUGCGAGUGUUCGGGUGGAAAACCCUUGCGCGUAAUGAAAGUGAACGACGGUGGGAACCUUUUAGGUGCACCAUCGACCGAUCCAGAAGUCUUCGGAUGGAUUUGAGUAAGAGCAUGGCUGUUGGGACCCGAAAGAUGGUGAACUAUGCCUGAAUAGGGUGAAGCCAGAGGAAACUCUGGUGGAGGCUCGCAGCGGUUCUGACGUGCAAAUCGAUCGUCAAAUUUGGGUAUAGGGGCGAAAGACUAAUCGAACCAUCUAGUAGCUGGUUCCUGC